UCUCAGUUCGGACUGUGGUCUGCAACCCGACCACACGAAGCUGGAAUCGCUAGUAAUCGUGAAUCAGAAUGUCACGGUGAAUACGUUCCCGGGUCUUGUACACACCGCCCGUCACACCAUGGGAGUCAGCAACGCCCGAAGUCAGUGACCUAACCGAGAGGGAGGAGCUGCCGAAGGCGGGGCCGGUAACUGGGGUGAAGUCGUAACAAGGUAAC
This 215-nucleotide ribosomal RNA is filed under the name uncultured bacterium. RNAcentral's name for it is "partial 16S ribosomal RNA". It matches the Rfam family "Bacterial small subunit ribosomal RNA", at positions 1286 to 1500 of the family's 1533-position model. The record is from RNAcentral.